RNAcentral lists this long non-coding RNA (217 nucleotides) under Gossypium barbadense (sea-island cotton). RNAcentral describes it as "long non-coding RNA (GBAR_LNC010938)". The record is from RNAcentral. Lineage: Eukaryota; Viridiplantae; Streptophyta; Magnoliopsida; Malvales; Malvaceae.
UUGGUGAUGUUCUCUCAUUUUUCUCUCUUUUGCUAAAGAUUACAUAUUGUUAGCCUUGUUGGAGUUGAAUGCUUGUUGUAGGCUUGAUAUUGUGAUCUUGUAGUUGAACAUUUGAUGAUAGUGGAGCUCUUGAUCAGACUCUAAAGUCCCGUGGUUUUUACCCUUGAUUUAGAGGGGUUUUCCACGUAAAAAUACCGGUGUCUCUAUUUAUUUUUGU